This 363-nucleotide small RNA is filed under the name Pelobates cultripes (western spadefoot toad). The record is from RNAcentral. Lineage: Eukaryota; Metazoa; Chordata; Amphibia; Anura; Pelobatidae.
AGUGAGGGGGUGACUAGUGACCGAGUGAGGGGAUGACUGGUGACUGAGUGAGGGAGGGGGUGACUAGUGACAGAGUAAGGGACGGAGGGGGUGACUAGUGACAGUGAGGAAGGGGGUGACUAGGGACAGAGUGAGGGAGGUGGUGACUAGUGACAGUCACCACCUCCCUCACUCUGUCACUGUCACCCCCUCCCUCUGUCACUAGUCACCCACUCCCUCCCUCCCUCUGUUACUGGUCACCCACUCCCUCCCUCUGUCACCAGUCAUCCCCUCACUCUGUCACUAGUAACCCCUUCCUUCCCUCACUCUGCCACUAGUCACCCUUUCCCUCACUCUGUCACCUGUCACCCCCUCACUCUGUCA